This 483-nucleotide ribosomal RNA is filed under the name uncultured bacterium. RNAcentral describes it as "partial 16S ribosomal RNA". It matches the Rfam family "Bacterial small subunit ribosomal RNA", at positions 29 to 507 of the family's 1533-position model. The record is from RNAcentral.
UUGAACGCUGGCGGCAUGCUUUACCCAUGCAAGUCGAACGGCAGCGCGGGCUUCGGCCUGGCGGCGAGUGGCGAACGGGGGAGUAAUGCAUCGGAACGUGCCCAGUAGUGGGGGAUAGCCCGGCGAAAGCCGGAUUAAUACCGCAUACGACCUGAGGGGGAAAGCGGGGGACCGAAAGGCCUCGCGCUAUUGGAGCGGCCGAUGUCGGAUUAGCUAGUUGGUGGGGUAAAGGCUUACCAAGGCGACGAUCCGUAGCUGGUCUGAGAGGACGACCAGCCACACUGGGACUGAGACACGGCCCAGACUCCUACGGGAGGCAGCAGUGGGGAAUUUUGGACAAUGGGGGCAACCCUGAUCCAGCCAUGCCGCGUGCGGGAAGAAGGCCUUCGGGUUGUAAACCGCUUUUGUUCGGGAAGAAAUCCUCUGGGCUAAUACCCCGGGGGGAUGACGGUACCGGAAGAAUAAGCACCGGCUAACUACGUG